RNAcentral lists this ribosomal RNA (822 nucleotides) under uncultured bacterium. Its description in RNAcentral is "bacterial SSU rRNA". It matches the Rfam family "Bacterial small subunit ribosomal RNA", at positions 627 to 1448 of the family's 1533-position model. The record is from RNAcentral.
UGGAAACUNUCUGACUUGAGUGCAGAAGGGGAGAGUGGAAUNCCAUGUGUAGCGGUGAAAUGCGUAAAUAUAUGGAGGAACNCCAGUGGCGAAAGCGGCUCUCUGGUCUGUCACUGACGCUGAGGCUCGAAAGCGUGGGUAGCGAACAGGAUUAGAUACCCUGGUAGUNCACGCCGUAAACGAUGAGUGCUAGGUGUUAGGCCCUUUCCGGGGCUUAGUGCCGGAGCUAACGCAAUAAGCACUCCGCCUGGGGAGUACGACCGCAAGGUUGAAACUCAAAGGAAUUGACGGGGGCCCGCACAAGCGGUGGAGCAUGUGGUUUAAUUCGAAGCAACGCGAAGAACCUUACCAGGUCUUGACAUCCCGAUGCUAUUCUUAGAGAUAGGAAGUUACUUCGGUACAUCGGAGACAGGUGGUGCAUGGUUGUCGUCAGCUCGUGUCGUGAGAUGUUGGGUUAAGUCCCGCAACGAGCGCAACCCUUAUUGUUAGUUGCCAUCAUUAAGUUGGGCACUCUGGCGAGACUGCCGGUAAUAAACCGGAGGAAGGUGGGGAUGACGUCAAAUCAUCAUGCCCCUUAUGACCUGGGCUACACACGUGCUACAAUGGUCGGUACAACGAGUUGCGAGCCGGUGACGGCAAGCUAAUCUCUGAAAGCCGAUCUCAGUUCGGAUUGGAGGCUGCAACUCGCCUCCAUGAAGUCGGAAUCGCUAGUAAUCGCGGAUCAGCACGCCGCGGUGAAUACGUUCCCGGGCCUUGUACACACCGCCCGUCACACCACGAGAGUUUGUAACACCCGAAGUCGGUGAGGUAACCUUUUAGGGG